ACGAACGCUGGCGGCGUGCUUCACACCUGCCAGUCGCACGGAAAGGCCCUGCUUUUGUGGGGUGCUCGAGUGGCGAACGGGUGAGUAACACGUGAGUAACCUGCCCUUGACUUUGGGAUAACUUCAGGAAACUGGGGCUAAUACCGGAUAGGAGCUCCUGCUGCCUGGUGGGGGUUGGAAAGUUUCGGCGGUUGGGGAUGGACUCGCGGCUUAUCAGCUUGUUGGUGGGGUAGUGGCUUACCAAGGCUUUGACGGGUAGCCGGCCUGAGAGGGUGACCGGCCACAUUGGGACUGAGAUACGGCCCAGACUCCUACGGGAGGCAGCAGUGGGGAAUAUUGCACAAUGGGCGGAAGCCUGAUGCAGCAACGCCGCGUGCGGGAUGACGGCCUUCGGGUUGUAAACCGCUUUCGCCGGUGACGAAGCGUGAGUGACGGUAAUGGGUAAAGAAGCACCGGCUAACUACGUG
This 467-nucleotide ribosomal RNA is filed under the name uncultured bacterium. Its description in RNAcentral is "partial 16S ribosomal RNA". It matches the Rfam family "Bacterial small subunit ribosomal RNA", at positions 29 to 507 of the family's 1533-position model. The record is from RNAcentral.